CUACGGGUCGCUGCAGUGGGGAAUAUUGGACAAUGGGGGAAACCCUGAUCCAGCAAUGCCGCGUGUGUGAAGAAGGCCUGCGGGUUGUAAAGCACUUUCGGUUGGGAGGACUGCUUCUAGCACUAAUAUUGUUGGAAGUUGACAUUACCUUCAGAAGAAGCACCGGCUAACUCCGUGCCAGCAGCCGCGGUAAUACGGAGGGUGCAUGCGUUAAUCGGAAUUACUGGGCGUAAAGCGCGCGUAGGCGGCUAGAUCAGUCGGGUGUGAAAGCCCCGGGCUUAACCUGGGAACUGCAUCCGAUACUGUCUAGCUUGAGUACAGGGGAGGAGAGUGGAAUUCCACAUGUAGCGGUGAAAUGCGUAGAUAUGUGGAGGAACACCAAUGGCGAAGGCAGCUCUCUGGCCUGAUACUGACGCUAAGGCGUGAAAGCGUGGGGAGCAAACAGGAUUAGAUACCCUAGUAGUC
RNAcentral lists this ribosomal RNA (465 nucleotides) under uncultured bacterium. RNAcentral describes it as "partial 16S ribosomal RNA". It matches the Rfam family "Bacterial small subunit ribosomal RNA", at positions 339 to 795 of the family's 1533-position model. The record is from RNAcentral.